AACGAACGCUGGCGGCAUGCCUAACACAUGCAAGUCGAACGGGAUCCUAGCUUGCUAGGUGAGAGUGGCGGACGGGUGAGUAACACGUGGGAAUCUGCCUUUUGGUUCGGGAUAACCGCGGGAAACUGCGGCUAAUACCGAAUGCCCUCGAGAGAGGAAAGAUUUAUCGCCAGAAGAGGAGCCCGCGUCCGAUUAGGUAGUUGGUGGGUAAAGGCCUACCAAGCCGACGAUCGGUAGCUGGUCUGAGAGGAUGAUCAGCCACACUGGGACUGAGAUACGGCCCAGACUCCUACGGGAGGCAGCAGUGGGGAAUAUUGGACAAUGGGGGCAACCCUGAUCCAGCAAUGCCGCGUGAGUGAUGAAGGCCUUAGGGUUGUAAAGCUCUUUUGCCAGGGAAGAUGAUGACUGUACCUGGAGAAUAAGCCCCGGCUAACUUCGUGCCAGCAGCCGCGGUAAU
RNAcentral lists this ribosomal RNA (457 nucleotides) under uncultured bacterium. RNAcentral's name for it is "bacterial SSU rRNA". It matches the Rfam family "Bacterial small subunit ribosomal RNA", at positions 29 to 524 of the family's 1533-position model. The record is from RNAcentral.